UACAGAGACCUCAAGCAUUAUCCGGAUUUAUUGGGCGUAAAGCGCUCGCAGGUGGUUCGUUGCGUCGUGCGUGAAAGACCCCGGCUCAACUGGGGGGUGUCGUGCGAUACGGGCGAACUGGAGGCCAGUAGGGGGAUGCGGAAUUCCGGGUGUAGUGGUGGAAUGCGUAGAGAUCCGGAGGAACACCAGCGGCGAAGGCGGCAUCCUGGACUGGUCCUGACACUCAGGAGCGAAAGCGUGGGGAGCGAUCCGG
RNAcentral lists this ribosomal RNA (253 nucleotides) under uncultured bacterium. RNAcentral's name for it is "partial 16S ribosomal RNA". It matches the Rfam family "Bacterial small subunit ribosomal RNA", at positions 524 to 776 of the family's 1533-position model. The record is from RNAcentral.